AUGAGUGCCCCCACUCAGCUCCUGGGGUUGCUGCUGAUCUGGCUUACAGGUGCCAGAUGUGACAUCCAGAUUACCCAGUCUCCAACCUCUCUGUCUGCAUCUCUGGGAGACAGUGUCACCAUCACCUGCCUGGCAAGUCAGGAUAUUGGCUGGGGUUUAGCAUGGUAUCAGCAGAAACCAAAGAAACCUCCUACGCUACUGAUCUAUGCUGGAGAUAGUUUGGCAAGUGGUGUCCCAUCGAGGUUCAGUGGCAGUAGAUCUGGCACACAGUUUUCUCUCAAGAUCAGCAGCCUGCAGCCUGACGAUAUGGCAACUUAUUACUGUCUAAAAUAUGGUAGUACCCCUCCCACAGUGAUUCAAGCCAUAACAUAA
Molecule: non-coding RNA, 372 nt
Organism: Peromyscus eremicus (cactus mouse)
Lineage: Eukaryota; Metazoa; Chordata; Mammalia; Rodentia; Cricetidae
Source: the annotation of a RefSeq genome assembly